RNAcentral lists this ribosomal RNA (872 nucleotides) under uncultured delta proteobacterium. RNAcentral describes it as "bacterial SSU rRNA". It matches the Rfam family "Bacterial small subunit ribosomal RNA", at positions 28 to 896 of the family's 1533-position model. The record is from RNAcentral. Lineage: Bacteria; Deltaproteobacteria.
AAUAAACGCUGGCGGCGUGCCUAACACAUGCAAGUCGAGCGAGAAAGUUCCUUCGGGAGCGAGUACAGCGGCGAACGGGUGAGUAACGCGUGAGAAUCUACCGUUUAGUGGAGAAUACCCUCGAGAAAUCGAGGUUAAUACUGCAUACGUCCCUUCGGGGAGAAAGAUGGCCUCUUUGCUAUCGCUAAAUGAGGAGCUUGCGUACUAUUAGCUAGUUGGUAGGGUAAAGGCCUACCAAGGCGAUGAUGGUUAGCCGGCCUGAGAGGGUGUUCGGCCACACUGGAACUUAGACACGGUCCAGACUCCUACGGGAGGCAGCAGUGAGGAAUCUUGCACAAUGGGCGAAAGCCUGAUGCAGCGACGCCGCGUGGGGGAUGAAGGUCUUAGGAUCGUAAACUCCUGUUAAGUGGGAAGAAAGGCUCAUCAAUAAUACGGAUGAGCGAUGACGGUACCAUUAGAGAAAGCACCGGCUAACUUCGUGCCAGCAGCCGCGGUAAUACGAGGGGUGCGAGCGUUAUUCGGAAUUAUUGGGCGUACAGGGCGCGUAGACGGCAUGUUAAGUCAACUGUUCAAUUCCCCGGCCUAACCGGGGGCCAGCAGUAGAUACUGAUGUGCUUGAGGGUGGAAGAGAGAAGUGGAAUUCUCGGAGUAGCGGUAAAAUGCGUAGAUCUCGAGAGGAACACCGAUGGCGAAGGCAGCUUCUUGGUCCAUUCCUGACGUUGAGGCGCGAAAGCGUGGGGAGCAAACAGGAUUAGAUACCCUGGUAGUCCACGCCGUAAACGAUGAUCACUAGACGUUAGUCCCCUUUAAGGGGAUUAGUGUCGUAGCUAACGCGUUAAGUGAUUCGCCUGGGGACUACGGUCGCAAGACUA